UACAGAGGGGGCAAGCGUUGUUCGGAAUUACUGGGCGUAAAGGGCGCGUAGGCGGCUUGCUAAGUCGGUCGUGAAAUCCCCGGGCUUAACCCGGGAACUGCGACCGAUACUGGUUGGCUUGAAUUCGGGAGAGGGAUGCGGAAUUCCAGGUGUAGCGGUGAAAUGCGUAGAUAUCUGGAGGAACACCGGUGGCGAAGGCGGCAUCCUGGACCGGCAUUGACGCUGAGGCGCGAAAGCCAGGGGAGCAAACGGG
Molecule: ribosomal RNA, 253 nt
Filed under: uncultured bacterium
Lineage: Bacteria
Description: partial 16S ribosomal RNA
Rfam family: Bacterial small subunit ribosomal RNA
Source: RNAcentral